RNAcentral lists this ribosomal RNA (253 nucleotides) under uncultured bacterium. RNAcentral's name for it is "partial 16S ribosomal RNA". It matches the Rfam family "Bacterial small subunit ribosomal RNA", at positions 524 to 776 of the family's 1533-position model. The record is from RNAcentral.
UACGUAGGGACCAAGCGUUGUUCGGAUUUACUGGGCGUAAAGCGCACGUAGGCGGCUUUCUAAGUCGGGGGUGAAAUCCUGGAGCUCAACUCCAGAACUGCCUUCGAUACUGGAGAGCUCGAGUCCGGGAGAGGUGAGUGGAACUGCGAGUGUAGAGGUGAAAUUCGUAGAUAUUCGCAAGAACACCAGUGGCGAAGGCGGCUCACUGGCCCGGUACUGACGCUGAGGUGCGAAAGCGUGGGGAGCAAACAGG